Molecule: long non-coding RNA, 504 nt
Filed under: Homo sapiens (human)
Lineage: Eukaryota; Metazoa; Chordata; Mammalia; Primates; Hominidae
Description: non-protein coding lnc-LINS1-2:2
Source: RNAcentral
GUCCCUCAUCUGCGUCCGGAAGGAAGUCAUCCACCCGUCCCUCAUCUGCGUCCGGAAGGAAGUCAUCCACCCGUCCCUCAUCUGCGUCCGGAAGGAAGUCAUCCGCCCGUCCCUCAUCUGCGUCCGGAAGGAAUCAUCCACCCGUCCCUCAUCUGCGUCCUGAAGGAAUCAUCCACCCGUUUCUCAUCAGGCUGUGCUGGACGGGGCAUGACUAGCGCUUCCUCUGCAGGCUCAUGGAGUAUGUUCCGGGCUGUGAGCUCUUCAGCUACCUGCGCAACCGGGGGCUCUUCUACUCUGCAGAGAUCAUCUGUGCCAUCCUGCACUCUAAGGAGAUCAUCUACAGGGACUUGAAGCCGGAGAACAUCCUGCUGGAUAGGGACGGACACAUCAAGCUCACGGACUUUGGGUUCGCCAAGAAGCUGGUAGACAGGACUUGGACCCUCUGCGGAAUACCCGAGUACCUGGCCCCCGAAGUCAUUCAGAGCGAGGGUCACGGAAGGGCUG